UACGUAGGGUCCGAGCGUUGUCCGGAUUUAUUGGGCGUAAAGCGCGUGUAGGCGGCGUGACAAGUCGGGUGUGAAAGCCCUCAGCUCAACUGAGGAAGUGCGCCCGAAACUGUCGUGCUUGAGUGCCGGAGAGGGUGGCGGAAUUCCCCAAGUAGAGGUGAAAUUCGUAGAUAUGGGGAGGAACACCGGUGACGAAGGCGGCCACCUGGACGGUAACUGACGCUGAGACGCGAAAGCGUGGGGAGCAAACAGG
RNAcentral lists this ribosomal RNA (253 nucleotides) under uncultured bacterium. RNAcentral's name for it is "partial 16S ribosomal RNA". It matches the Rfam family "Bacterial small subunit ribosomal RNA", at positions 524 to 776 of the family's 1533-position model. The record is from RNAcentral.